Molecule: small nucleolar RNA, 90 nt
Organism: Eupeodes corollae
Lineage: Eukaryota; Metazoa; Arthropoda; Insecta; Diptera; Syrphidae
Product: small nucleolar RNA snoR126
Exons: 1
Source: RefSeq, a predicted model, not a curated record
UAGUUGUGAGGAAAAAAGGAUUAUUUCGAUUCUGUUUGAUCAAAAUUCUGUAAGGUACUGUUUGGUCAUAAUUCUGUGUGUCUUAACUAU